RNAcentral lists this long non-coding RNA (1060 nucleotides) under Oryctolagus cuniculus (rabbit). Its description in RNAcentral is "lncRNA (ENSOCUG00000037940.1)". The record is from RNAcentral. Lineage: Eukaryota; Metazoa; Chordata; Mammalia; Lagomorpha; Leporidae.
AGCCUUUAUUUGCAGAAAGCCUCUGAUCUUGAUCUAAAAUCAAUGUCAUCGUGCCGCUGAUCCACUUAGCAUGGGCUGCGUUUGUUAGGAGUGCAUUUGGACUUAAUGUGAAGGAGUCAGCUUCUGUACGUCUGUUGAAUGCUUUUGCUUACUCCUAUUUGGACAAAAACAUUAUUCAAGCCUUUCCGCAAAGGCUUCUCUAAGUUAAUUAUUCAGGCAGGGACUUGAACUCGAGAGGAUUUGCACACAUGCUCACCUUGCACCUUGUGUGUGAACAGCCCAGACCUAUCUCGUUCUUUGCAAAUGCUCCGAUUCACCACAAUUUGUUUUUCUGAAGAACACAUAAUGAUGUGUGAAAAAAACUAAACAAGGCCGGAUAUUUCUUCCUUGGAAUGGCUAAAACAUAACAAAUAUGGUAUGAUGCUUGGCAGAACAGGUUGUAACCAAAUCUGGCUGGCGUUUGAGGAGCGUGGAGUUGGCAGAUGAUACACAACCUGCCAGCGUUGACCACAGAUGGCUGUUCCUCCGCUGUGGUCAUAGUGCUGAUCUCGUCACAGAUGGCUGUUCCUCUGCUGUGGUCAUAGCGCUGAUCUUGUCACAGACGGCUGUUCCUCCGCUGUGGUCAUAGCGCUGAUCUCGUCACAGACGGCUGUUCCUCCGCUGUGGUCAUAGCGCUGAUCUCGUCACAGACGGCUGUUCCUCCGCUGUGGUCAUAGCGCUGAUCUCGUCACAGAUGGCUGUCCCUCCGCUGUGGUCAUAGCGCUGAUCUCGUCACAGACGGCUGUUCCUCCGCUGUGGUCAUAGCGCUGAUCUCGUCACAGACGGCUGUUCCUCCGCUGUGGUCAUAGCGCUGAUCUCGUCACAGAUGGCUGUUCCUCCGCUGUGGUCAUAGUGCUGAUCUUGCUGUUGCUGUCCAGGUGGACGGAUGUUUACAAAGCCAUGAUAAAAAUGACUCAAGAGGUGAAGACUAGGACUGUGGGUACCCGGCAGCUCCAUCCUGAAGACAGCACUUGGCUUUGCUGUCGGCACCCUUGGUGCCUCUUGUCCGAGCAGCACUGAC